RNAcentral lists this transfer RNA (72 nucleotides) under Sus scrofa (pig). It matches the Rfam family "tRNA". From Rfam's summary of the family: Transfer RNA (tRNA) molecules are approximately 80 nucleotides in length. The record is from Rfam by way of RNAcentral. Lineage: Eukaryota; Metazoa; Chordata; Mammalia; Artiodactyla; Suidae.
UUCCUAGUGGUCUAAUGGUUAGGACUCAGUGCUUUCACUGCUGUGGCCUGGGUUCAAUCCCUGGUCUGGAAC